UCGCAGCACCUUAUCGAGUAAUGCAGUUCAUAUUUACACCUUUCUUUUACACAAAACCAAUCCCACUCCCUUUCUCAUCAUCCACACAAAGUAGCCGGUA
RNAcentral lists this small RNA (100 nucleotides) under Arabidopsis thaliana (thale cress). Its description in RNAcentral is "ATSL112980". The record is from RNAcentral. Lineage: Eukaryota; Viridiplantae; Streptophyta; Magnoliopsida; Brassicales; Brassicaceae.